This 460-nucleotide ribosomal RNA is filed under the name uncultured bacterium. Its description in RNAcentral is "partial 16S ribosomal RNA". It matches the Rfam family "Bacterial small subunit ribosomal RNA", at positions 338 to 795 of the family's 1533-position model. The record is from RNAcentral.
CCUACGGGUGGCAGCAGUGAGGAAUAUUGGUCAAUGGACGAGAGUCUGAACCAGCCAAGUAGCGUGAAGGAUGACUGCCCUAUGGGUUGUAAACUUCUUUUAUAUGGGAGUAAAAAAGUCUAUGCAUGUCCUAUUGUAUAUACCCUAUGAAUAAGGAUCGGCUAACUCCGUGCCAGCAGCCGCGGUAAUACGGAGGAUCCGAGCGUUAUCCGGAUUUAUUGGGUUUAAAGGGAGCGUAGGUGGAUUGUUAAGUCAGUUGUGAAAGUCUGCGGCUCAACCGUAAAAUUGCAGUUGAAACUGGCAGUCUUGAGUAUAGUAGAGGUGGGCGGAAUUCGUGGUGUAGCGGUGAAAUGCUUAGAUAUCACGAAGAACUCCGAUUGCGAAGGCAGCUUACUGGACUGCAACUGACACUGAGGCUCGAAAGUGUGGGUAUCAAACAGGAUUAGAUACCCGUGUAGUC